CGAAGGGGCUAGCGUUGUUCGGAAUUACUGGGCGUAAAGCGCACGUAGGCGGGUAUUUAAGUCAGGGGUGAAAUCCCAGAGCUCAACUCUGGAACUGCCUUUGAUACUGGGUACCUAGAGUAUGGAAGAGGUGAGUGGAAUUCCGAGUGUAGAGGUGAAAUUCGUAGAUAUUCGGAGGAACACCAGUGGCGAAGGCGGCUCACUGGUCCAUUACUGACGCUGAGGUGCGAAAGCGUGGGGAGCAAACAGGAUU
RNAcentral lists this ribosomal RNA (253 nucleotides) under uncultured bacterium. RNAcentral's name for it is "partial 16S ribosomal RNA". It matches the Rfam family "Bacterial small subunit ribosomal RNA", at positions 527 to 779 of the family's 1533-position model. The record is from RNAcentral.